UACGGGGGGAGCAAGCGUUGUUCGGAUUUACUGGGCGUAAAGGGCGCGUAGGCGGUCGGCACACGUCAGUUGUGAAAUCUCCGGGCUUAACUCGGAAAGGUCAACUGAUACUGUGCGACUAGAGUGCAGAAGGGGCAACUGGAAUUCUCGGUGUAGCGGUGAAAUGCGUAGAUAUCGAGAGGAACACCUGCGGCGAAGGCGGGUUGCUGGGCUGACACUGACGCUGAUGCGCGAAAGCCAGGGGAGCGAACGGG
This 254-nucleotide ribosomal RNA is filed under the name uncultured bacterium. RNAcentral describes it as "partial 16S ribosomal RNA". It matches the Rfam family "Bacterial small subunit ribosomal RNA", at positions 524 to 776 of the family's 1533-position model. The record is from RNAcentral.